AACUAGUGGCGGACGGGUGAGUAACGCGUGGGUAACCUGCCUCAUACAGGGGGAUAACAGUUAGAAAUGACUGCUAACACCGCAUAAUAUAGCGAAACCGCAUGAUUUUGCUAUCAAAUAUUUAUAGGUAUGAGAUGGGCCCGCGUCUGAUUAGCUAGUUGGUGGGGUAAAAGCCUACCAAGGCGACGAUCAGUAGCCGGCUCGAGAGGGUGACCGGCCACAUUGGGACUGAGACACGGCCCAAACUCCUACGGGAGGCAGCAGUGGGGAAUAUUGGACAAUGGGGGAAACCCUGAUCCAGCCGACGCCGCGUGAGUGAAGAAGUAUUUCGGUAUGUAAAGCUCUAUCAGCAGGGAAGAUAAUGACAGUACCUGACUAAGAAGCCCCGGCUAACUACGUGCCAGCCGCGGC
RNAcentral lists this ribosomal RNA (411 nucleotides) under uncultured bacterium. Its description in RNAcentral is "bacterial SSU rRNA". It matches the Rfam family "Bacterial small subunit ribosomal RNA", at positions 90 to 518 of the family's 1533-position model. The record is from RNAcentral.